UACGGAGGGAGCUAGCGUUGUUCGGAAUUACUGGGCGUAAAGCGCACGUAGGCGGCCGUGUAAGUCAGAGGUGAAAGCCUGGAGCUUAACUCCAGAACUGCCUUUGAGACUGCAUGGCUUGAAUCCAGGAGAGGUGAGUGGGAUUCCGAGUGUAGAGGUGAAAUUCGUAGAUAUUCGGAAGAACACCAGUGGCGAAGGCGGCUCACUGGACUGGUAUUGACGCUGAGGUGCGAGAGCGUGGGGAGCAAACAGG
This 253-nucleotide ribosomal RNA is filed under the name uncultured bacterium. RNAcentral's name for it is "partial 16S ribosomal RNA". It matches the Rfam family "Bacterial small subunit ribosomal RNA", at positions 524 to 776 of the family's 1533-position model. The record is from RNAcentral.